UACGGGGGGGGCAAGCGUUGUUCGGAAUUACUGGGCGUAAAGGGUUCGUAGGUGGCUUGCUAAGUCAGACGUGAAAUCCCUCAGCUUAACUGGGGAACUGCGUCUGAUACUGGCGAGCUUGAGUGCAGGAGAGGAACGCGGAAUUCCAGGUGUAGCGGUGAAAUGCGUAGAUAUCUGGAGGAACACCGGUGGCGAAGGCGGAUCUCUGGGCCUGAUCUGACGCUGAGGCGCGAAAGCUAGGGGAGCGAACAGG
This 253-nucleotide ribosomal RNA is filed under the name uncultured bacterium. RNAcentral describes it as "partial 16S ribosomal RNA". It matches the Rfam family "Bacterial small subunit ribosomal RNA", at positions 524 to 776 of the family's 1533-position model. The record is from RNAcentral.